This 253-nucleotide ribosomal RNA is filed under the name uncultured bacterium. RNAcentral's name for it is "partial 16S ribosomal RNA". It matches the Rfam family "Bacterial small subunit ribosomal RNA", at positions 524 to 776 of the family's 1533-position model. The record is from RNAcentral.
UACGUAGGGGGCAAGCGUUAUCCGGAUUUACUGGGUGUAAAGGGAGCGCAGGUGGUAUGGUAAGUCAGAUGUGAAAGCCCGGGGCUCAACCCCGGGACUGCAUUUGAAACUAUCAGACUGGAGUGCAGGAGAGGUAAGCGGAAUUCCUAGUGUAGCGGUGAAAUGCGUAGAUAUUAGGAGGAACACCAGUGGCGAAGGCGGCUUACUGGACUGUAACUGACACUGAGGCUCGAAAGCGUGGGGAGCAAACAGG